RNAcentral lists this long non-coding RNA (2784 nucleotides) under Marmota monax (woodchuck). The record is from RNAcentral. Lineage: Eukaryota; Metazoa; Chordata; Mammalia; Rodentia; Sciuridae.
CUCCUCUGUGGCACCUGAUGUGGCAACAGCAAGAGGUGUUUUUCCUGUCAUUGUCUUCACAAGGCCCGUGCACACAGUAUCUGUGGUAUCAAGAGAUGGAUUUUCAGACUCAUAAGCUCCUGUCCUCCUUCCAUGGCCUUUUCCUGGAUUGUCCUUCUUUAUCCAAUAUUUUUUUAAUAUUUAUUUUUUAGUUGUAGGUGGACACAAUACCUUUAUUUUAUUUUUAUGUGGUGCUGAGGAUCGAACCCAGUGUUUCACGCAUGCUAGGGGAGAGCUCUACAUCUGAGUCACAACCCAGCCCAUUUAUCCAAUCUUUUAAAGUCUGAUUUCUAAUUCUAGGAUUAGCUGAGAGGAGGGAUCUCAUAGUUCCUAUUUUAGACAAAUUCCUGCUGAUAUUCAUUUUCUGCUCUGCUUGUCUACCUCUCUCCCUGUCAUUAGCUCUAGUAAUUCUAGCACUGGCUCCAAUGUAAAUUCAAGUAUUUAUAAUUCAGAGCCUAAUUUAAUUUUUUUUGGUACCGGGGAUUUGAACCCAGGGGUACUUAACCACUAAGCCACAUCCCCAGCUCAUUUUUUAUAUUUAAAUUAGAGACAGGGUCUUGCUGAGUUGCUUAGGGCCUCACUAAGUUGCUGAGGUUGGCUUCGAACUCAUGUUCCUCCUGCUUCAGCCUCCCAAGCUGCUAGGAUAACAGGUGUGUGCCACCAUGCCCAGCCUUAAUUUAUAUUUAUUUGUAAAAUAGGACCUAUGAGCCAAGAAUUGUCAUUUCUGAAGGGAGAAAUGUACUUGUAUGCUGUGAAGUGCAGGUGGCCUUGUGUGUGUGUGUGAGAGAGAGACAAUAGCACUGUAACAAAAGACCAGACAGCCCUGACCUCAGUGUUAGAGGACCUUGUGCUGCAGUAGCCACUGAGCAGCACUUGACCUGAGGCUCCAUUAAAAAACAUAGUGUGUUAGAAGACAGAGGUGCUUUACAGUGAUCAUUCAUUCAGCUGAUAUUUGUUGUGUACUGGAUAUGUGACACGCUAUUUUUUUUUUGCAUGUGGGAACCUUAUUGAAGGAGAAAUAGAAAAAUUGCCUACCUUGUACAGCAUGUGUCAUAAUGGGAAGAGGCAGAGGAUACACUCUAGGCAGAGUAAGGAAAAUGUUGAUGUUAGAAGGUGGAAAGUAUUAUGGGAAAGGUGAUCCCAGUGUGUGGGGACAAGGAAGAUGACUGUUUUACUAAGAUGGUCAGCAUGGAAAUCACUGGGAAGGAGAUCUUUGAAGCUUUGAAGAAUACGAGGAAUCAUUCCUUGAGGGUGUCCAGAACAAUUUUUUUCCAGGCAGGAGAAACUUUAGGGCAAGUGCACUGGGGCAGGAGUGUAUCUACAUGUUCUGGGAAGAAUAAGGAAGUGGAGUGUCUGAAGCAGUCACUGAGAUUUGGAUGGUGGUUUAACCAGAUCAUGAGUCCUGGAGGAUGCUGGAAGAUUUUGUACUUUUUCUCUGAGUAAUAGGGAGUUGGAAGUCAGUUUGAGCAGAAGAGGACCACCAUGUGAUUUGUUUUGUAACAGAAAUGUGUUGUAAUAGGAACUGUGGUUUCUCUGCUGAGAAGAGAAUCUUGAGGUUGCAUAACUAGGUUGCAGCAAAACUGCAGGGGACUACUAGUGUUCUGUUUUGGAUGCAGACGUGGGUCCCCUCAGCAGAGAUGUGAGCAAUGAAAAUGGUGAGAGUGAUCAGAUCCUGGAUCUAUUUUGAAGAUGGACUUUUCAACAUUUCCUAAUGGACCGAAUCUGGAAUGUGAGAAAGGAGUCAAGGAGGACAUCAGUGAUUUUCGACUGUGGAAUAAGCUGGAAGACUAUGGAAGGGGCAUACUUGAGGAUAACUGAAGAUGGAGUCGUGGGUGCCGUGGGUGGAACAGGAGGGGUCAGAGUAUUGGGAAGAGAAGAUGAGGAAUGCCAGGGGUCACACACAAAUUUACUAACUGAAUUUGUUGGACCCUACUUUGCUACUGUAAUCAGAGCAAGGGCGGUGAAUGACCCCAGGUCCGGGUUGGAGGUCAUGACCCUUUCACAUCCCCCACAGGUAUCCCGGGUACAAGAUGCAAAAAUCCAUGCACCAGCAGCAAGUGGUGUUCUUCCACUUGGAGUUUCCUUAUUUGUGGAUGGAAUGAGGGAGGACCAUAUUCAUUUCUGGCAUUUCCAUCUGGAGUUUACUUUGCCUCAAAGGCUGAAGCAAUGAAAAAUAACUAUGUGAAUGGGAAACCUUUCCUUGAAAAAAGCUUUAAUAAACAUCUGGAGCUUGAAGAUGCUGUUGAGGCCUCUGAACCCCAAAGGAAAGCUUUGAAGGGAAAAUUACAGAAGAUAUUAUAGAAGUUGAGAUCUACAAUGAAACUGGAUUUAGGGGGCUUAUUCCAGCUGAAGUUAAGUAUUACUUAGAAGCCAUUGCAUAAUAAUAAAGUGACUGAAAAAUCCAGAACUUCAGAUAAUCUAUCUACUUACCAUGUUUAAGCUAUGUUUUGUUUUUCAGACUUUUGUAUACUUAUUUCUGCGUUGUUUCAUGAAGUUACACUUUCAUAAUAACACUUAUAAAUCAUAAUGAAUUAUUAAGUCCAAAAUAAAUAAAAUAACUUGCUCUAAAUCUAAUUUUUUUGUAAGCUCAUAGCUAGCUACAAAGCAAAAACCUAUGGUAUGUUNUCUCCAUUCUGUUCUAUACCCUUUUGCCAGUACCAUAUUCUAUUUGAUUAAUGUAUCUUUAUAAAAAAAUCUUAAAAUAGUAUUACAUAAUCUUCAGUGGUAUGUUUUCAUUAUAAUUCA